RNAcentral lists this ribosomal RNA (253 nucleotides) under uncultured bacterium. Its description in RNAcentral is "partial 16S ribosomal RNA". It matches the Rfam family "Bacterial small subunit ribosomal RNA", at positions 524 to 776 of the family's 1533-position model. The record is from RNAcentral.
UACAGGGGGGGCAAGCGUUGUUCGGAAUUACUGGGCGUAAAGGGCUCGUAGGUGGCCAACUAAGUCAGACGUGAAAUCCCUCAGCUUAACUGGGGAACUGCGUGUGAUACUGGAUGGCUUGGAUUUGGGAGAGGGAUGCGGAAUUCCAGGUGUAGCGGUGAAAUGCGUAGAUAUCUGGAGGAACACCGGUGGCGAAGGCGGCAUCCUGGACCAAUAUUGACGCUGAGGAGCGAAAGCCAGGGGAGCAAACGGG